AUCCAGUCGACGAGUCCAAAACAGGACGAAACGCGCGUCCUGGAU
This 45-nucleotide non-coding RNA is filed under the name Schistosoma mattheei. The record is from RNAcentral. Lineage: Eukaryota; Metazoa; Platyhelminthes; Trematoda; Strigeidida; Schistosomatidae.